Ribosomal RNA from Ochotona princeps (American pika), 117 nucleotides. Lineage: Eukaryota; Metazoa; Chordata; Mammalia; Lagomorpha; Ochotonidae. The record is from Ensembl.
GUCUACGGCCACACCACCCUGAAUACGCCCGAUCUUGUCUGAUCUCGGAAGCUAAGCAGGGUCGGGCCUGGUUAGUACUUGGAUGGGAGAAAUGAAUAGAAAGAUUUGCCAUUUAAU